CCCUUAGAUGUCCUGGGCGGCCCGCGCGCUACAAUGUCAGCUACUGAAGGUUAAUGCUUUGAAAGAGAGCGCGCUCUCCUUUUAAUUGCUCGCAUGCUGGGAUAAAUGAAUGCAAUUUUGUUUUGAACGAGGAAUUCCUAGUAGCCAUGUUUCACUAGAAGAUGGCGAAUGCGUCCCUGCCCUUUGUACACACCGCCCGUCGCUCCUACCGAUGAGCGUUUUGGCGAAGACGGUUUGAGUAGCUGCGUAAUUUCGUGUUGUUGACUCCGGCAGUUUGAGCCUGCACGUUUAGAGGAAGGAGAAGUCGGAACA
This 312-nucleotide ribosomal RNA is filed under the name uncultured eukaryote. Its description in RNAcentral is "partial 18S ribosomal RNA". It matches the Rfam family "Eukaryotic small subunit ribosomal RNA", at positions 1470 to 1796 of the family's 1831-position model. The record is from RNAcentral.